RNAcentral lists this ribosomal RNA (648 nucleotides) under uncultured Gammaproteobacteria bacterium. RNAcentral describes it as "bacterial SSU rRNA". It matches the Rfam family "Bacterial small subunit ribosomal RNA", at positions 69 to 708 of the family's 1533-position model. The record is from RNAcentral. Lineage: Bacteria; Pseudomonadati; Pseudomonadota; Gammaproteobacteria.
GUAGCACAGAGAGCUUGCUCUCGGGUGACGAGUGGCGGACGGGUGAGUAAUGUCUGGGAAACUGCCUGAUGGAGGGGGAUAACUACUGGAAACGGUAGCUAAUACCGCAUAACGUCGCAAGACCAAAGAGGGGGACCUUCGGGCCUCUUGCCAUCAGAUGUGCCCAGAUGGGAUUAGCUAGUAGGUGGGGUAAUGGCUCACCUAGGCGACGAUCCCUAGCUGGUCUGAGAGGAUGACCAGCCACACUGGAACUGAGACACGGUCCAGACUCCUACGGGAGGCAGCAGUGGGGAAUAUUGCACAAUGGGCGCAAGCCUGAUGCAGCCAUGCCGCGUGUAUGAAGAAGGCCUUCGGGUUGUAAAGUACUUUCAGCGAGGAGGAAGGUGUUGUGGUUAAUAACCGCGGCAAUUGACGUUACCCGCAGAAGAAGCACCGGCUAACUCCGUGCCAGCAGCCGCGGUAAUACGGAGGGUGCAAGCGUUAAUCGGAAUUACUGAGCGUAAAGCGCACGCAGGCGGUCUGUCAAGUCGGAUGUGAAAUCCCCGGGCUCAACCUGGGAACUGCAUUCGAAACUGGCAGGCUAGAGUCUUGUAGAGGGGGGUAGAAUUCCAGGUGUAGCGGUGAAAUGCGUAGAGAUCUGGAGGAAUA